Pteronotus mesoamericanus is the source of this 130-nucleotide small nucleolar RNA. RefSeq annotates it as small nucleolar RNA SNORA33. The transcript has a single exon. Lineage: Eukaryota; Metazoa; Chordata; Mammalia; Chiroptera; Mormoopidae. The record is from RefSeq and is a predicted model, not a curated record.
AAACCAGCCAAGGAGUCUGCUUACCUGAAUAUGUUUCUGCAGAAAUUUAGAGAAAGCUGGCAAUAGUAAAGCCAUGUCACAAACCUUAGACUCAUUAAAGUCAUUUGGGUCCCUGAAGAUUGCUAAGCAG